RNAcentral lists this transfer RNA (74 nucleotides) under Caudoviricetes sp. RNAcentral describes it as "tRNA-Met". It matches the Rfam family "tRNA". Rfam says of the family: Transfer RNA (tRNA) molecules are approximately 80 nucleotides in length. Their secondary structure includes four short double-helical elements and three loops (D, anti-codon, and T loops). The record is from RNAcentral. Lineage: Duplodnaviria; Heunggongvirae; Uroviricota; Caudoviricetes.
UGCGGAGUGUAUGGUAAAGGAAGCCGGGUUGACUCAUACUCAACAGAUGCAGGUUCAAGUCCUGCCUCCGCACA